AACGUAGGUACCGAGCGUUAUCCGGAUUUACUGGGCGUAAAGCGCGUUCAGGCGGCGCUGCAAGUCGGGCAUGAAAGCUCCGGGCUCAACCGGGAGAGGUUGUCCGAUACUGCAGGGCUUGAGGGCAGUAGAGGGUGGUGGAAUUCCGGGUGUAGUGGUGAAAUGCGUAGAGAUCCGGAGGAACACCAGUGGCGAAGGCGGCCACCUGGACUGCCCCUGACGCUGAAACGCGAAAGCUAGGGGAGCGAACGGG
RNAcentral lists this ribosomal RNA (253 nucleotides) under uncultured bacterium. RNAcentral's name for it is "partial 16S ribosomal RNA". It matches the Rfam family "Bacterial small subunit ribosomal RNA", at positions 524 to 776 of the family's 1533-position model. The record is from RNAcentral.